Molecule: non-coding RNA, 1153 nt
Organism: Vigna umbellata (rice bean)
Lineage: Eukaryota; Viridiplantae; Streptophyta; Magnoliopsida; Fabales; Fabaceae
Source: RefSeq, a predicted model, not a curated record
UAUUGAGUCUGAUAGACCUGGGUUAGGGUUUUAACGCAAUCCCUCGCCACCCUCAUUUACGAUAUCUUGGUUUCUUUGCAGAGAAGUAGUUAGGCAUAACAGACACUGAGAUGGGAACAAAGGCAAAGAAAGCUAUGAAGAAGAACAUGAAAAUGGCUUCCUCUAAACAGCCAUCUCAGGGUGCUGAUUUUUUGCCCUUGGAAGGUGGUCCUGCUCGCAAGCUCGCCGAACAGAAGCCGCCGGAGAAUACCUCCACGGUAUUGUACGUAUCCAGGAUUCCGCAUGGAUUCUAUGAGAAGGAGAUGGAAGGUUAUUUUGGUCAAUUUGGAACCAUCAAAAGGUUGAGAAUCGCGAGAAAUAAAAAGACAGGAAAAUCAAGACAUUUUGGGUACAUAGAAUUUGAAUCUCCUGAGGUUGCGAAAAUUGUAGCUGAUACUAUGCACAAUUAUCUCCUUUUCGAGCACCUUCUCCAAGUUCAUGUUGUACCUCCGGAGAAUGUUCAUUCAAGAUUAUGGAGAGGAUUCAGUUAUCGUCACAAGCCAUUGGAUUAUGUCCAAAUUGAACGGAAGCGUCAUGACAAGGAAAGAACCUUAGACGAGCACAAAAAAUUGGUGGAGAGGAUUCUAAAACAUGACCAAAAACGACGGAAAAGGAUAGAGGCUGCUGGCAUUGAUUACGAAAGCCCUGAGAUUAUGGGUAACAUCCAGCCUGCUCCAAAGAAAAUAAAGUUUGAUNAACAAAUGAAUGUGUGUUAUUUUUCAUCGUAGAUGGAGAGGAUUCAGUUAUCGUCACAAGCCAUUGGAUUAUGUCCAAAUUGAACGGAAGCGUCAUGACAAGGAAAGAACCUUAGACGAGCACAAAAAAUUGGUGGAGAGGAUUCUAAAACAUGACCAAAAACGACGGAAAAGGAUAGAGGCUGCUGGCAUUGAUUACGAAAGCCCUGAGAUUAUGGGUAACAUCCAGCCUGCUCCAAAGAAAAUAAAGUUUGAUGACUGAGUUGGUAACCUGAAACACAGGAGUCUGCUGGUUUAGGAUUUUUAGUUUUAAUAUUUUCGCAGUUUUGGAACUUAGUUCUGAAACCUUGUAUCCGUCAAAUGUUUACAGGAAGCAUGAUCCAUUUUAUAUAUUCAUAAACUUUUUAAGCAGUUGAUCA